GACUUCUUUUAGUCGAAAAAAACCGUUGAGCGAGUUGGACGCGUUUUCAGUGCGAGGCUAUGUCGGUCGGUGUUUUCUACGUUUCUUGUCGGUGAAAAAUAAGAAUUAAAACAGAAACUUAAGUGCAGGAAUAUAGUGUAAAUUUUGAAAUCUGUGAAGUGAAAAUUGCAGUUUAAUUCAAAGAAGAAACGUUCUAACGACCGUGAAAUACGACAACAGAACGAGCGCGACGCUGGCAGCAACUGUGUUUUAUAGCCGUAACUGUAAAAACGCGGCUAAGCCGCUGACUUUCAAUCAUAAAUUAAAACGACGCCGAAUAUUCCAACUAAUUAAAAUUAAAGGUGCAGGCAGCUUGAACAAUGUGCAGACAGUUGCUGGCUAAACACGCUGGCAGGACAACAGACGCAAGGAUAAUCAACAGCAACAGCAAGGCUAAGCUCUAACAACAACAACAAACAUUGGCAGCAGCAACAACUUUUUAUAAUGCAUUUUUGAAAGCAAAAGAAACAAAAAGAAAAAAAAAAACAAUUAAGGCAAUGCCCUCCAUGAAACUUUUAAUGCAAGCAGCUUAAAAGGCAGCAUACACACUCACACACACACACACACACACAUUUGCACAGCUACAUACACAAACACA
Molecule: long non-coding RNA, 637 nt
Organism: Drosophila arizonae
Lineage: Eukaryota; Metazoa; Arthropoda; Insecta; Diptera; Drosophilidae
Gene: axo
Source: RefSeq, a predicted model, not a curated record